This 244-nucleotide ribosomal RNA is filed under the name uncultured Bacteroidales bacterium. RNAcentral describes it as "partial 16S ribosomal RNA". It matches the Rfam family "Bacterial small subunit ribosomal RNA", at positions 90 to 334 of the family's 1533-position model. Lineage: Bacteria; Pseudomonadati; Bacteroidota; Bacteroidia; Bacteroidales. The record is from RNAcentral.
GGCGACCGGCGCACGGGUGCGUAACGCGUAUCAAACCUGCCUCAUACUCGGGGAUAGCCUUGCGAAAGUAAGAUUAAUACCCGAUGUUGUUAUGUUACCGCAUGGUGAUAUAACCAAAGAUUUAUCGGUAUGAGAUGGUGAUGCGUCCGAUUAGGUAGUAGGCGGGGUAACGGCCCACCUAGCCUUCGAUCGGUAGGGGUUCUGAGAGGAAGGUCCCCCACACUGGAACUGAGACACGGUCCAG